Long non-coding RNA from Leopardus geoffroyi (Geoffroy's cat), 2964 nucleotides. RefSeq lists it as uncharacterized. The record is from RefSeq and is a predicted model, not a curated record. Lineage: Eukaryota; Metazoa; Chordata; Mammalia; Carnivora; Felidae. The transcript is spliced from 4 exons.
GCGGGGCGGGGGCGUGGAGGGGGCCGCCCGCGUGGGGUCGGCUGCGGCCCGGCAGAGUUGGCGCGCGAGGGUGUGGAAGCCGAGAGGUGAUCCUGCCGACAGCACCGCGGACGCGUGCGGGACGCUGUCCCCUGUCUACUCCGCGCUCCAAGGUGCCUGUGAUGAAUGACACAUCGAUCAACCCAUAGCCUUCAGACAUUGCCGUGUGAAGCCAAUGAAAGAUAUCUGCUGGUAACCAAAUGAUGAUCUUAUGAAAAGACCGCGGGGACUAUGAGCUAUCCUGGGGUUCCACGUGCCAGAGACAUGAAGAAAGCAGAGCGGUCCCAGAGAGAAGUGACCGUGGAGGAGGAGCUUCCGCCAGAAGCGAGGGAAUAGGGAAUGUGGACAAGUGUCUCCAAAACAGCUCCUCCACAAUGAUCACCCGACCCCCAGCCUCGGCCACAGGCAUUGCUUUGCUCCCUGAACCCAGUGUAAAGGGCUAAUGUUAUUAUUAGUCUGUUCCUUCUGUGAUCUUCCGCCAGGCCAGAGCUACCCAAGCGAACAAUAAUCAUUAUCAUCUCUGACAAUCUGAGAAGAUGAACUGCAAGGGAAAAAUUGAAAAAUUGCACGUGUGAGUUAUAUUACGUGUCUUAAUUUUAAAGCUAAGAUGAAACCACAGUGCACUGUAGCAUACUGUUAUUUAUCAGAGGCAAUUAUUAGGAAUGCCAGUUUGCAUAGUACAUAUUUGUGCCCAUAAAAACGCAGUACGUACUGACCCGUCUGGUCUCUGAAUUCCAGAUUGCUCUUUUGCCUGGAUAUCUUAAUUUCUUCCAGGCCCCAGACCAAACCAGACAAGUGACAAAGAGCUAUUUGCUCCUCUUGGUAGAAUAACAGGGUGUCCCAGAACAGAUCUCUUUGUGGGCGGCCAUGAGCGGACUGCCAGAGUUCUUGGCCCAAGGAGAAGGCUGAGGUCACAGUUUGGAGCAGGGUUCAGGCAGUGUGCCAGACCUGGAAGACCUUCUGAGCACUCCCGGGGGGAUCUUAAUGGGGAGGGGAAUGCCAACAGGGUCAGAAGUCUGACAGCUAUGCAGGUGGGAUUUGGCACUAGAUACAGCCGGGAUUACCUACUAAUGUAACAUCAUUUGUACCCCCAAAUUGGUAAAAUCUGGGAAGAAUCUGGGAUUACAAAUGCAGGUGCAUUUUCCUCUUUUUUGGAUAGUGCUUUAUAAUUAUUAUUAAGUUCUGGCAGGAGCCGGAGCUGGGCAUUUUAGACAAACGCUUGCACUUUGCACAUCCAGAAGUGGGGUUCCCAUUCUUGAGGUCUUCUAGAGAACCACAUUCUUCCCUCCUCACCCCUCCGUCAUAGAUCAGACAGGGAACCCUACUUUAAUUCGGAAAGGGGGACUAAACUUCCCUCUGGCCCCAGAUGACUUAUCUUUUUCCACGUUAUAAGGCCUUUUCGGCCUCCAGUUUCCUACCUUUCGACUUGGGUAUGACUAAUUCUGUUGCUCCUCCCUUCCCCCUUCCCUUCCCCAACCUCCAGUAGUCAGUACUUGGAGACAGUGCCAAGACCAUUGCAUGGGUUGGCUGACCUUGGCCUCAUCAGCUUGCCCCACAGCCAACCACCCAUCCCCACUCUAAAUGCACCAUAGUGAGGGAGAAGUUAGAGCUUGUGAACUCCAGGGAAACCUCUCAAAUGCCAGAGUUUGGCUUGGUCCCUUAUACUAUGAAGCAUUGACAAGCAUUUAAAAUUCCCCAGCACCUAUAUGAUUUUUUAACAAACACAGGACGUUCAAGCUAAGCUCUGUUUCUGAGACCAUGACACUUGUAUCUCUUAGCACUACUGGGGUAGGUGAGGGAAAACUUAUUUAUGCAGUCUUUCUGUGGAGCCUCAGACACAUUCAUGACCUCUGUGAGGAUGCCUCUCCUAGACUGUAUGACCACAGUUCCCUGCUAUCGUAGUGUCACUCAUUGUGGGCCACUGGCCAGUGGCUACUCAGGCGCUAUGGUAGCCUCUGUAGCCUUCAAGUGCAAGAAAUGAGUCUCAGGAGCCUUCUAAUUUUCCCAUCUCUAGCCCAAAUCUAUGUAUAAUAAGGGUUAUUUGAGGCCAGAGGUGAACAGGCCAAGCAAGUACCAAGACCUUUCUUUCAAACCCCAGUUCAGAGAGAACAUUGAACUUGCAUGUUAUGUGUUCUGAGCCUUAGCAACCUCCCUCCAGCCAGAGUCAGCCUGGCCUAAAUACCAAAGAGUGGUUGUAUAAUAUUGGUGAUUUAUUACCUCCUUUUCCCAUGUCAGAUUACUCGCAAAUGGUCAUCAUAAUGUUAAUCUUACAUCCUUCCUCCGUCCUUUCCUUUAUCAAUUGGAGAAAGCCAAAAUAUUUGCAGCAGACACACACAGACAGCACUUGGGGCUAGAUGUGAGGCAAAGCAUGUCAGACUUUAAGGUUUGAAGAUUUUGAUUCCUACAUCUCACUAUUGGUGUCAGCCCUCAAUAUCUGACCUCUGUAGGCCAGUGAUUCUGCUGGUCUGGGAAUCACACUUGAUAAUCACUUGUCUAGGUCAACAUGCCACCACAUAGAACCAAAUUUAAGUAACUUGUGUUUGGUUCUCUAUCUUGUGGUCAAAUUUAAAAGGCUAACUGCCCUUUUAUGUAUUUAAUCAUGAUUAGACUGAUCACUCUGGGUGACUGGCCAUAUUGGCCGGGAGUGUCAAGAUCAUUGUACCUAUGACUUCAAUCAGUUUUUGCAAACCAUUUAGCCUCAUGGUUAUCCUUUGCCAGGGGCUAUGCUUAAGAGACACAUCUCUUACCUGAACAAAACUAGAAAUUGUAACGUGUAGGGUGGAAACUCUGAUGAUAAAUAGAAUUUUGGUAAUAGACCCAAGUUAAGGACUUCGAUUUGGGGGGAAUCAAAUAUGUUCUAAAACCCUUUGACCACAUAAUUAUGCCUCUGAAAAAUAGUCUACACCAAGGAAAUAACCAAAAAUA